UCUUGUGCAAUAAACGAAAGUAUGACACAGAGAGGACACAUUUAAUUGAGCCCGUCAAAUUAAGUGCCAGCCGACGCGGUUAAACUUAAGGGCUGGUCUUUAUAAGUAAAAAGGCGUAAAGGAUGUGUAGGCCAAGAAACGAUCCAAGUAGGUAAAUGGAAUUUUUCUGGAGCGGUAGAAUGUGAGGAUAGAAAAUAGAACCCCUAAGGUAAAAACUAUUUACUACAAGGUAGGCUGAAACAUGAGAGUGUGGGGAGCAAACAGGAUUAGAGACCCUGGUAGUCCACACUGUGAACUUUGAAGAUGAUGCUUAGCAGACCCGAAAGGUAAAAUCUUCCGCCUGAGUAGUACGAUCGCAAGAUUAAAAUUCAAAAACUUUGGCUGUUCACUAUUUCGAUUAGAGGAGCGUGUAGUUUAAUUCGAUGGUCCGCGUGUUACCUUACCCCAACUUGAAUCUGUGACCGGUAUUGCAUGGCCGUCGUAAGUUCGUGUAUUAAGCUAGAAGGGACCCAACCCGGGCAUUUGCCCGGAGGAAGUCAGGUCUUAUGAUCCGAAUGUUGGGGGAUUUUAUGCGCUACAUUUUCUUAUAUAAUGAGAAACCUGGAAGGUGAAUCUCUAAAGUAAGAGUUCGGAAGGUCGCUGUAAGACGACUGGAAGUUGGAUUUAAUAGUAAUCGGAAAGUAGGGCGUUCCGGUGAAUUGGUACAAGUGUUAGCACAAAUUGCCCGUCACCUUUACUUAGAAUGGUUAUUCGG
Molecule: ribosomal RNA, 754 nt
Filed under: Anthopleura japonica
Lineage: Eukaryota; Metazoa; Cnidaria; Anthozoa; Actiniaria; Actiniidae
Also listed under: 1 other name
Description: partial 12S ribosomal RNA
Rfam family: Bacterial small subunit ribosomal RNA
Source: RNAcentral